This 91-nucleotide transfer RNA is filed under the name Bacilli bacterium. RNAcentral's name for it is "tRNA-Ser". It matches the Rfam family "tRNA". Rfam says of the family: Transfer RNA (tRNA) molecules are approximately 80 nucleotides in length. Their secondary structure includes four short double-helical elements and three loops (D, anti-codon, and T loops). The record is from RNAcentral. Lineage: Bacteria; Bacillati; Bacillota; Bacilli.
GGAGGAAUACCCAAGCGGUCGAAGGGGCGGGCUUGGAAAGCUCGUAGACUCUGAAAGGGGUGCCAGGGUUCGAAUCCCUGUUCCUCCGCCA